AACGAACGCUGGCGGCAUGCCUAACACAUGCAAGUCGAACGAGACCUUCGGGUCUAGUGGCGCACGGGUGCGUAACGCGUGGGAACCUGCCCUUAGGUUCGGAAUAACUCCCCGAAAGGGGUGCUAAUACCGGAUAAUGUCUUCGGACCAAAGAUUUAUCGCCUUUGGAUGGGCCCGCGUUGGAUUAGCUAGUUGGUAGGGUAAAAGCCUACCAAGGCGACGAUCCAUAGCUGGUCUGAGAGGAUGAUCCGCCACACUGGGACUGAGACACGGCCCAGACUCCUACGGGAGGGAGGAGUGGGGAAUAUUGGACAAUGGGCGAAAGCAUGAUCCAGCAAUGCCGCGUGAGUGAUGAAGGCCUUAGGGUUGUAAAGCUCUUUUACCCGGGAUGAUAAUGACAGUACCGGGAGAAUAAGCACCGGCUAACUCCGUG
Molecule: ribosomal RNA, 433 nt
Filed under: uncultured bacterium
Lineage: Bacteria
Description: partial 16S ribosomal RNA
Rfam family: Bacterial small subunit ribosomal RNA
Source: RNAcentral